GGCCUUAUGAGUUAAGGUAUCCCUGUUCUCAACACCAAACACAGUCAUCUUUUGAAGAGUUCCGAUUAUCAAGUGUAUUGCAGUCACUUGCGCUUUAGAAUCCGCAACUUCUUCUUCAUAUAGUACAAAAGCUUGUGUAAAAAAUUCAUAAGCAAUCGGUUCAAGUUCACAAUCAUUGGCUGCCUCUGCACACUGCAAGUACAACCGCAAUGCCAAUUCUGGCGAUGGAACUGAUGAAAGAGCCUCGAUAGUCUCAUUCAAUAACUUAAAAAUUUUCUUUGGUGUAGCUGGAACCUCUUCUCCCGCCACAUCUCCAUCCUGACCUUGUAAUCUCCUAACCAACUUCAGUGCAGAAAAGGAUAGAGGAGGAACUGUAAAAGUUAGGCGCUUUGGACCUCCAGCCAUUAUAUGCUUCCUAACAGUGCAUAUUAUCUUUAACAUUUCCUCAGGCUCAUCGUUGUACAGCACGUGUAUAAGCCGAGCAACAGAAUUCUGUUCCUCCUUGAAAUCCUCCUCAUCAAGC
This 523-nucleotide unclassified non-coding RNA is filed under the name Hevea brasiliensis (rubber tree). The record is from RNAcentral. Lineage: Eukaryota; Viridiplantae; Streptophyta; Magnoliopsida; Malpighiales; Euphorbiaceae.